RNAcentral lists this ribosomal RNA (497 nucleotides) under uncultured bacterium. Its description in RNAcentral is "partial 16S ribosomal RNA". It matches the Rfam family "Bacterial small subunit ribosomal RNA", at positions 28 to 507 of the family's 1533-position model. The record is from RNAcentral.
GAUGAACGCUGGCGGCGUGCCUAAUACAUGCAAGUCGAGCGAACAGACGAGGAGCUUGCUCCUCUGACGUUAGCGGCGGACGGGUGAGUAACACGUGGAUAACCUACCUAUAAGACUGGGAUAACUUCGGGAAACCGGAGCUAAUACCGGAUAACAUGUUGAACCGCAUGGUUUAACAGUGAAAGACGGUCUUGCUGUCACUUAUAGAUGGAUCCGCGCCGCAUUAGCUAGUUGGUAAGGUAACGGCUUACCAAGGCAACGAUGCGUAGCCGACCUGAGAGGGUGAUCGGCCACACUGGAACUGAGACACGGUCCAGACUCCUACGGGAGGCAGCAGUAGGGAAUCUUCCGCAAUGGGCGAAAGCCUGACGGAGCAACGCCGCGUGAGUGAAGAAGGUCUUCGGAUCGUAAAACUCUGUUAUUAGGGAGGAACAAAUGUGUAAGUAACUAUGCACGUCUUGACGGUACCUAAUCAGAAAGCCACGGCUAACUACGUG